RNAcentral lists this long non-coding RNA (2450 nucleotides) under Olea europaea (common olive). Its description in RNAcentral is "long non-coding RNA (OEUR_LNC004470)". The record is from RNAcentral. Lineage: Eukaryota; Viridiplantae; Streptophyta; Magnoliopsida; Lamiales; Oleaceae.
CGCUGCCAUUAAAUCUUUAUUCUCGUCCUCCUCUAAAGCUACCGCUACCACCAACUAUAACUUCCCCCCACUUCCAUCUCAGAAGCCCUCCAAACCCACCUCAUUUUUUCCUGACCUUCGUCGCACUAAAUCAUUUUCAGCCUCUAAGAACGAAGGAUUUGGCCUCUUUUCCGGUGCUUUUGAGCCCCAGAGAAAAUCUUGUGACGUCCGGGUGAGGAACACACUUGGGUCACUCUUCACCAUCAACGACGACAAUAAAACCGCUAAUAAACCCUCUACUUCUACUCAAAACCCACAAUAUGGCCUGACAAACAAGCAAUGCGAAUCUUUUGUUGUCAAUAAAUCGGUUUAUGGGGAGACCAAAAGUGGGGAUGAUUUUGAAGACCCUGAAAACAUAGAGGACACUAAUGCUGCUGUUAAUGAUGAUGACAAAGAUGAAAUUACUCCAGUUCAAGAUUUCAUUUUAGAAAAUAUUGGACGUGACCUUGAAAGAGAGGUUGAUGUAGCUGAGAUAGUCGAAGAAGAUAUGGUAAAUGUGAAUAAUUUGAAGGCUAUGAAGGAUCAUAUAGAUCUUGAUAUCCAAGUGAAGAAGAGUUCUGGAGGGGGAUUUUGGUCUGCUGCCUCAGUUUUUAGCAAGAAAUGGCAGAAGUGGAGGAAACAAAAGUUGAAAAAGCAGAAUAAUGGUGAGCAUUUGGCUAAACUGCCUGUCGAAAAACCAAUUUCGAGGCAAUACAGAGAGACGCAGUCUGAAAUUGCAGAAUACGGGUUUGGGAGGAGGUCUUGUGAUACUGACCCACGGUUUUCUCUUGAUGUUGGGAGAAUUAGCCUGGAUGAUCCAAGGUAUUCUUUUGACGAGCCUCGGGCUUCUUGGGAUGGGCAUUUGAUUGGGAGGAGUUUUCCGAGAAUGGCGCCUAUGGUUUCUGUAAUGGAGGAUGCACCAACUAUGAAUGUAUCACGAUCUGAUAUGCAGAUUCCAGUAGAGGAUCCAGUGAUGACGACAGUGAACUGUGUUAAUGGGGACGAGGGUGUCCCUGGAGGGUCUGUGCAGACUAUGGAGUACUAUGCAGAUUCGUCCUCAAAAAGGAAGAGUCUUGAUAGGUCCAGUUCUGUAAGAAAGGCCUCGGCUGCUGUGGUGGCAGAGACCGAUGAAAUGAAGGUGGUUUCUAAUGCCAAGGUUUUACCUGCUACUGCUGAUCACUUUUGUGGGGCUAAGGCAUUGUUUGGGGACAGAGAGUUCUGGGAUUCAAAUUCAAAUUCCUUGAAGGAUGAUUAUUCAGAGACAUUUGAGUUGAGUAGUGGGUUUAGGGAUAAUAAUUCGAUGAUAGAGAAUGGGGAGCAAAAGGAGUUGAAAAAAUCAAGGAGGUGGAGUUGGAGAAUAUUGGGCUUUAUACAACGACGUGGUGGUGGGAACAAGGACGAGGAAGAUGAUAGGUACAGUAGAAUUGAUGGGGUGGAGAGAUCAUUUUCCGAGAGAGGAGAAUUCAACAGGAAUGUGUUUCGGAGCAAUAGUAGCGUGAGCUGCAGAAAUUCCACUCACAUUCUGGGAUCAUAUGGGAGUGCAAGAAAAUCAGACGUCCAACUGAAUGGACAUGGGAAGAAGUGCAAGGAUGAAUUUGUUUUGGAGAAGAAUCGAAGUGCAAGGCGUUCACCUAAUCACGUUGAUAAUGGACUCUUACGUUUUUACCUGACGCCCAUGAGGAGCAGCCGGAGAUGGGGACUGGCAAAAGUAAAGCCCAAUAGCUCACAAUCAAUCUCUAGAAGCAUCCUUAGGCCUUACUGAGCUAUGAAAUCUUCAUGUUGUCUUUUAAUUCAAGGUUAAUUUUGCUGAUCUGUCUUGUAACCACGAAUGCUCUUUUAAAUCUUAAUGUUUGGUCGGAUUAUCCAUAUUUGUGAUUUGAUCAAGAUGCUAUUUUGAUUGGGAUGAUAAUGAGAAAAAUCCAAUGUUUCUUUCUGUGUAGUUCUUCGCAUGUUGUCUUGCUACAAGAUUUUCUUGUCCUAUGCGGAGUUGGAGUUUCACCUGUUACUUCUACGAUAUUUGUCAGUUUUUCAAAUUAUUCUUAAGCCUUGAAAAUGGUGGAUACGGACAAUUCUUGCUAUGCAACAAUUUGCGAGCGCCUCACCACACUAGAUCAGUCCUCCUCUAUAACUCCCUCGUCAUCUCGCCGGCCUUCUGUCUCUGGUGCUGCCGCUGCCAUUAAAUCUUUAUUCUCGUCCUCCUCUAAAACUACCGCUACCACCAACUAUAACUUCCCCCCACUUCCAUCUCAGAAGCCCUCCAAACCCACCUCAUUUUUUCCUGACCUUCGUCGCACUAAAUCAUUUUCAGCCUCUAAGAACGAAGGAUUUGGCCUCUUUUCCGGUGCUUUUGAGCCCCAGAGAAAAUCUUGUGACGUCCGGGUGAGGAACACACUUGGGUCACUCUUCACCAUCAACGACGACAAUAAAACCGC